Molecule: small nuclear RNA, 161 nt
Filed under: Neotoma lepida (desert woodrat)
Lineage: Eukaryota; Metazoa; Chordata; Mammalia; Rodentia; Cricetidae
Description: U1 spliceosomal RNA
Rfam family: U1 spliceosomal RNA
About the family: U1 is a small nuclear RNA (snRNA) component of the spliceosome (involved in pre-mRNA splicing). Its 5' end forms complementary base pairs with the 5' splice junction, thus defining the 5' donor site of an intron. There are significant differences in sequence and secondary structure between metazoan and yeast U1 snRNAs, the latter being much longer (568 nucleotides as compared to 164 nucleotides in human).
Source: Rfam by way of RNAcentral
AUACUUACCUGGUGGGAGAGAUACUAUGAUUAAGAAGGUGGUUUUCCCAGGGCAAGGCUCAUCUAUUGCUCUUGGAUAUGCUGACUCUUGCAGCUUCACCAGAAUUGAAAUACUGGACUACAUAAUUUGUGGUGGACUGGGGUUGAGUUCAUGUUCUUUGA